Molecule: small RNA, 102 nt
Filed under: Ulvibacter antarcticus
Lineage: Bacteria; Pseudomonadati; Bacteroidota; Flavobacteriia; Flavobacteriales; Flavobacteriaceae
Description: Flavo-1 RNA
Source: RNAcentral
AUUUCGCGUUAGGGAUUAAGGCGGCAUCCUUUUUGUUGUCUCCCUGAGCGCAGUCGAAGGGUUUAGACAAUCAAAAUGAUAUAGCCGAAAGCCCGACCGAGC